RNAcentral lists this ribosomal RNA (252 nucleotides) under Clostridioides difficile. RNAcentral's name for it is "partial 23S ribosomal RNA". It matches the Rfam family "Bacterial large subunit ribosomal RNA", at positions 1339 to 1586 of the family's 2925-position model. Lineage: Bacteria; Bacillati; Bacillota; Clostridia; Peptostreptococcales; Peptostreptococcaceae. The record is from RNAcentral.
GUAAACCCAAGGUUUCCAGGGGAAGGUUCGUCCGCCCUGGGUUAGUCGGGACCUAAGCUGAGGCCGAAAGGCGUAGGUGAUGGACAACAGGUUGAUAUUCCUGUACUACCGAUAACCGUUUGAGGGAGGGGAUGACACAGUAGGAUAAGCUAAGCACACUGUUGGUUAUGUGUGCCCAAGCAUUGAGGCAGUCAAAGUAGGCAAAUCCGCUUUGAUAAUGCUGGGAUGUGAUGGGGAGCGAAAUUUAGUAGC